RNAcentral lists this transfer RNA (74 nucleotides) under Dallia pectoralis (Alaska blackfish). RNAcentral's name for it is "tRNA-OTHER". It matches the Rfam family "tRNA". Rfam says of the family: Transfer RNA (tRNA) molecules are approximately 80 nucleotides in length. Their secondary structure includes four short double-helical elements and three loops (D, anti-codon, and T loops). The record is from RNAcentral. Lineage: Eukaryota; Metazoa; Chordata; Actinopteri; Esociformes; Umbridae.
GGCCGGUUAGCUCAGUUGGUCAGAGCGUCGUGCUAAUAACGCGAAGGUCGCGGGUUCGAUGCCAGUACUGGCCA